RNAcentral lists this ribosomal RNA (532 nucleotides) under uncultured bacterium. RNAcentral's name for it is "partial 16S ribosomal RNA". It matches the Rfam family "Bacterial small subunit ribosomal RNA", at positions 355 to 881 of the family's 1533-position model. The record is from RNAcentral.
UGGGGAAUAUUGGACAAUGGGGGAAACCCUGAUCCAGCCAUGCCGCGUGUGUGAAGAAGGCCUUAUGGUUGUAAAGCACUUUAAGCGAGGAGGAGGCUACUGAGACUAAUACUCUUGGAUAGUGGACGUUACUCGCAGAAUAAGCACCGGCUAACUCUGUGCCAGCAGCCGCGGUAAUACAGAGGGUGCGAGCGUUAAUCGGAUUUACUGGGCGUAAAGCGUGCGUAGGCGGCUUUUUAAGUCGGANGUGAAAUCCCCGAGNUAACUUGGGAAUUGCAUUCGAUACUGGGAAGCUAGAGUAUGGGAGAGGAUGGUAGAAUUCCAGGUGUAGCGGUGAAAUGCGUAGAGAUCUGGAGGAAUACCGAUGGCGAAGGCAGCCAUCUGGCCUAAUACUGACGCUGAGGUACGAAAGCAUGGGGAGCAAACAGGAUUAGAUACCCUGGUAGUCCAUGCCGUAAACGAUGUCUACUAGCCGUUGGGGCCUUUGAGNUUAGUGGCGCAGCUAACGCGAUAAGUAGACCGCCUGGGGAGU